AAUGAUUGAUAGGGACGGUUGUGGGUGCUAGUAUUCAGCGGCCAGAGGUGAAAUUCUCGGAUUCGCUGAAGACUAACUUAUGCGGUUGCAUUUACCAAGGUAUUCUUUCUUAAUCAAGAACGAAAGUUGGGGGAUCGCUUAACAAACGCAUCCGUGGUAGUCGCAUUCGUAUAAUAUGCCGACUAGGGAUGAGUGAACGUUGCAUUUUCGACUUCGUUCGCUCCUUAUGAGAAAUCAAAGUUUUCAGGCACCGGGGGGAGUAUGGUAGCCAGGCUAAAACUUAAAGGAACCUCGGAAGGGCACCACCAGGAUGUAUUCCUGCGGCUUAAUUUGACUCAACACGGGGAAACUUACCAGGUCCAGACACAGUAAGGAUUGGCAGCUUGAAGUUCUUUAUAGAUCCUGUGGGUGGUAGGGCAGGGCCGUUACUUAGUUGCAGGAACGCUUGGACUCGUGGACCCCCUUAAGCCGAGUUCCCCCGACCUC
This 486-nucleotide ribosomal RNA is filed under the name uncultured flagellate. RNAcentral describes it as "bacterial SSU rRNA". It matches the Rfam family "Eukaryotic small subunit ribosomal RNA", at positions 864 to 1352 of the family's 1831-position model. The record is from RNAcentral.